RNAcentral lists this transfer RNA (59 nucleotides) under Ovis aries (sheep). It matches the Rfam family "tRNA", at positions 7 to 64 of the family's 71-position model. From Rfam's summary of the family: Transfer RNA (tRNA) molecules are approximately 80 nucleotides in length. Their secondary structure includes four short double-helical elements and three loops (D, anti-codon, and T loops). The record is from Rfam by way of RNAcentral. Lineage: Eukaryota; Metazoa; Chordata; Mammalia; Artiodactyla; Bovidae.
UUGGCUCAGAUGGUAAAGCAUCUGCCUGCAAUGCGGAAGACCUGGGUUUGAUUCCUGGA